Long non-coding RNA from Asparagus officinalis (garden asparagus), 2494 nucleotides. RefSeq lists it as uncharacterized. The transcript has 5 exons. NCBI's taxonomy places the organism in Eukaryota, Viridiplantae, Streptophyta, Magnoliopsida, Asparagales, Asparagaceae. The record is from RefSeq and is a predicted model, not a curated record.
CUACGUCGUCUUCAUCUGCAUCUCCUCCGCUCCCACCUCCGCCUCCACGUCGGUCUCCUUCGGCACCGUCGACGCGUUGACGUAGGGCUUGAAGGAGAACCGGUUCCCGUUCUUGAGAUUGUAGUAGGCUUUGAAGAUCGAGAGCUCGCCGGCGUAUCCAUCAAUCCCCCUUCUCUUCUUCCCUCUUUCUCUCGCCCUCUGCAACUCAACAGGAUCAGAGUCCAAAUCAGAGCAGCAAGAAUUGAGUCCACUGGGGUCUCUUCAGGCUUCAGAGCUCCCCAUUUUGAGCUUCCAGAGCCUUUGACAGGCAAAGUAUGGACACAGGAUGAGUUCGAGCCUUAUCCCGCUCUGUUGGUAAAAUGCUUAUGCAUUUAUUUGGUUGAAAUCGGGGCUCGAUUUUUUUUGCAUUGGCUGUGUUGUUUGGAUUGUUCUACUUCUUUGUGAUUUCGUGCGCAUUCAUUUGAGCUGGUAGAUUGCACGUCUAGCGCUUCUCAGUUCAGGCAUUUCUAUGUCCAGUUAUUUUUGUAAGAACCGAUUAAUUCUUGAGUUCAGGAGAACUGUUAUUCGUGCGCAUCAUAUCUGCAACUGUUCACUCUUUUGAACGGUGACAGAUAAUUGACAGAAAUUAUGUCGUCGCUCCUUCAUCCUACAUAUUCUAGAUUCAAAAACUGAGUGAUGUCCAAAAUAUUAUUGAUGUAAGGUUCUCUGUUAGUCGCAAUGUGAUGCUCUGGUUUUGUCCCAAUUUUAACUAAGUAGAAUAUAGUUUUACUAUUUAUAUUCCUUGUGCUUGUCGAGAUACCCUUCUUUAAUUAGCUUAAUUUGGAAUUAUUUCACUUCACAUUAAAUAAUCACCGGGGAUCAGUCCUACAAAGGAUAUAACCUUGUAAUUCGCAAUAUAAUUUCCUUCUUGUUGGUUGCAAUUCUCUUACUAGGAAUUGGUCAACCAGACAAAAAAUUAUCUGAUGUUAUUACUAACAAUGCAGUUAUUAUACCCUUUUUGCUUUAGAUUUGUUCCGUAACCACCAAUUAGCUGCUGUAAAUAGAUUCCAGAUUGUAUCCAGCAGUGUAAAAGGGCAGCACACGCUUUGGGUACGAGUUAUUUUGCAGAGCGAAGAAGUUCAUCUUUCCCUCGACUUAGAUUGUUGCUUCUUUGGUUUUAGAUUUUCCUGAUAGAAAUUAUCAUGCUUAAAGAGGAACUGGUUAAACAUUUCUAUCAACUUCACUAUAUUAUUAAUUCAAGAUAAGUCCUAGAUUGAACUCUGGCAUGACGCUUCCUCAAUGGCUAGUGAAUGACCAUGUACUAAAAUCUUCUGCGUGCACCACUUUCUCAAUAUCACCAGGAGCAAUAUGAAUAUUUUCUCUUUUAAACCUUUUUCCAGGCUGUUGAAGAUUCUCUGAAGAGUCUGAAUUUAUUUCAUGGUGGUGUCGCUGAUAAACAAGUAGGGCAAUACAGUGGCGAUAUGAAGCGGAGACUAAGUGUUGCCAUUGCUUUGAUUGGUGAUCCUAAAGUUGUCUACUUGGAUGAGCCCAGCACAAGACUAGAUCCAACAUCACGAACCCACUUGUGGAAUGUUGUGAAGUGCGCUAAAAAACACAGGGCAAUAGUUCUUACCAGUUAAGUUUUGUAUGGCAAUUUUUUUCACACGAAAUAGGAGGUUUUAGUUCUUCAUUAUUUCAUUAUUAGGAUUAACAAGACCAUUUAGGAGGUUUCAAGAAGAAAUGUGUAGCUUAACUUGACAUCUACCUCAUCAAUGUUUGGACUGCUAAAGUUCUUUGUUCCGGUUAAUUUCACUUAAGCCCCAGAACUUUAAAAGGUUUUGCACAUAAUUCCCCUUGAACUUUGUUCAUUCAGCUUAACUCCUGUAAACUGUGGGGUGUAUCAUGUUGAUGGAAAUUUUCAGGAUCCAUGUUUUGUUAUGUGGUUGAAGUUGUUUGCAAACUGGUAAUUUACGUAGUUCUUGUAGAAGGAUUGGCAACACAUUUGUCAGUUUCAACCUUCUUUCCUUUCUUGAAAGUAUAAGAAUUUAUGUUUGAGUUAUUGUUCAUGUGCACCUAUAGUUCCAGAUGUGGACCAGACAGAUGUAUGACACUUUGAGUUGCACUGUCAGUUAAUUACUUUUGGCAAGGUUUUCUAUACAAAGAGCAAGCCAAAUUGUAAUGCUUGCCCAAUGAGAGGAGAGUGCAAACACUUUGCAAGUGCAUUUUCCAGUGCAAUGCUUUCUCUUCCAGGACCAGAUGAGAAAUGUUUGGUGAGCUCAACAAUUCUUGUUUUCUCCACAAGAAUUGAUGGAUCAGUUCCCAUCCCAAUGCCCUUACCUCAACUUGAAGGGAGCACGCACAUAAGGGAAAAAAACUGCUCCUAAAAUCUGUGAGCCUAUUGUUGAGGAACCUGGGACGCCUGAGCCUGAGCAUUGAGGAACCUUAUUUUUUUGUUAUUGCUCACUUUGUAACUCAAUGUUUUUGAUGUGUUGUAUAAUGAUGGAUAUAUUUUUUU